AGGCCUAAUACAUGCAAGUCGAACGAAUCCUUCGGGAUUAGUGGCGGACGGGUGAGUAACACGUGGGAACGUGCCCUUUGGUUCGGAACAACUCAGGGAAACUUGAGCUAAUACCGGAUGUGCCCUUCGGGGGAAAGAUUUAUCGCCAUUGGAGCGGCCCGCGUCUGAUUAGCUAGUUGGUGGGGUAAAGGCCCACCAAGGCUACGAUCAGUAGCUGGUCUGAGAGGAUGAUCAGCCACACUGGGACUGAGACACGGCCCAG
This 262-nucleotide ribosomal RNA is filed under the name uncultured bacterium. RNAcentral describes it as "partial 16S ribosomal RNA". It matches the Rfam family "Bacterial small subunit ribosomal RNA", at positions 46 to 334 of the family's 1533-position model. The record is from RNAcentral.